RNAcentral lists this ribosomal RNA (500 nucleotides) under uncultured bacterium. Its description in RNAcentral is "partial 16S ribosomal RNA". It matches the Rfam family "Bacterial small subunit ribosomal RNA", at positions 30 to 523 of the family's 1533-position model. The record is from RNAcentral.
AUUGAACGCUGGCGGCAGGCUUAACACAUGCAAGUCGAGCGGAGAUGAGGUGCUUGCACCUUAUCUUAGCGGCGGACGGGUGAGUAAUGCUUAGGAAUCUGCCUAUUAGUGGGGGACAACAUUCCGAAAGGAUGCUAAUACCGCAUACGUCCUACGGGAGAAAGCAGGGGAUCUUCGGACCUUGCGCUAAUAGAUGAGCCUAAGUCGGAUUAGCUAGUUGGUGGGGUAAAGGCCUACCAAGGCGACGAUCUGUAGCGGGUAUGAGAGGAUGAUCCGCCAAACUGGGACUGAGACACGGCCUAGACUCCUACGGGAGGCAGCAGUGGGGAAUAUUGGACAAUGGGGGGAACCCUGAUCCAGCCAUGCCGCGUGUGUGAAGAAGGCCUUAUGGUUGUAAAGCACUUUAAGCGAGGAGGAGGCUACUGAGACUAAUACUCUUGGAUAGUGGACGUUACUCGCAGAAUAAGCACCGGCUAACUCUGUGCCAGCAGCCGCCGUAA